Molecule: transfer RNA, 73 nt
Filed under: Ailuropoda melanoleuca (giant panda)
Lineage: Eukaryota; Metazoa; Chordata; Mammalia; Carnivora; Ursidae
Rfam family: tRNA
About the family: Transfer RNA (tRNA) molecules are approximately 80 nucleotides in length. Their secondary structure includes four short double-helical elements and three loops (D, anti-codon, and T loops).
Source: Rfam by way of RNAcentral
ACCUGGCUGGCUCAGUUGGUAGAGCAUGCGACUCUUGAACUCUGGGUUAUGGGUUCAAGCUCCAUGUUGGGUG